This 270-nucleotide long non-coding RNA is filed under the name Phoenix dactylifera (date palm). Its description in RNAcentral is "long non-coding RNA (PDAC_LNC002116)". Lineage: Eukaryota; Viridiplantae; Streptophyta; Magnoliopsida; Arecales; Arecaceae. The record is from RNAcentral.
ACAAGGUAUUGGCCGAGAUGAUAUUCUAAUCAGACCAAUCGCAGAAUAAUGCCAAGAAUCAUUAAAGAAACUAUAGUUAUGAUUUUGCCGGCGGUUAUGCUAGCUCAACCAUGAACGCACGACCUUUGCAAUUAUCGCCAUGUGCACCUUGUGGGGAGCCAUUACCAGGCGGUUAGUGCACGAUUAUCCAUUCCAGUAUGGUUAUUGCAUCUUUCGAUAAUUAAGGUAACAGAUACUAACCCAAUUCUAUAUAUAGAGAAAAUAGGAGGC